CGCGGGGGCAACCCUGGCGGCGAGCGGCGAACGGGUGAGUAAUGCAUCGGAACGUGUCCUCUUGUGGGGGAUAACCAGUCGAAAGACUGGCUAAUACCGCAUGAGCUCGAGAGAGGAAAGCAGGGGACCCGCAAGGGCCUUGCGCGAGAGGAGCGGCCGAUGCCCGAUUAGCUAGUUGGUGGGGUAACGGCCUACCAAGGCGACGAUCGGUAGCUGGUCUGAGAGGACGACCAGCCACACUGGGACUGAGACACGGCCCAGACUCCUGCGGGAGGCAGCAGUGGGGAAUUUUGGACAAUGGGGGCAACCCUGAUCCAGCCAUGCCGCGUGUGUGAAGAAGGCCUUCGGG
Molecule: ribosomal RNA, 349 nt
Filed under: uncultured bacterium
Lineage: Bacteria
Description: bacterial SSU rRNA
Rfam family: Bacterial small subunit ribosomal RNA
Source: RNAcentral